CAUUCAGUAGCGAGCUUAACCGAGUAGGGGAGGCGUAGGGAAACCGAGUCUUAAUAGGGCGACUAGUUGCUGGAUGUAGACCCGAAACCGAGUGAUCUAUCCAUGGCCAGGAUGAAGGUGCGGUAAAACGCAUUGGAGGUCCGAACCCACGCAUGUUGCAAAAUGCGGGGAUGAGCUGUGGAUAGGGGUGAAAGGCUAAACAAACUCGGAGAUAGCUGGUUCUCCCCGAAAACUAUUUAGGUAGUGCCUCGAGUAUGAGACUGAUGGGGGUAAAGCACUGUUAUGGCUAGGGGGUUAUUGCAACUUACCAACCCAUGGCAAACUAAGAAUACCAUCAAGUUGCUCCUCGGGAGACAGACAUCGGGUGCUAACGUCCGGUGUCAAGAGGGAAACAACCCAGACCGCCAGCUAAGGUCCCAAAUGAUAGAUUAAGUGGUAAACGAAGUGGGAAGGCACAGACAGCCAGGAUGUUGGCUUAGAAGCAGCCAUCAUUUAAAGAAAGCGUAAUAGCUCACUGGUCGAGUCUUCCUGCGCGGAAGAUGUAACGGGGCUCAAAUCUAUAACCGAAGCUGCGGAUAUACUUUUGUAUAUGGUCUGUCUCUUAUACACAUCU
RNAcentral lists this ribosomal RNA (613 nucleotides) under Kingella kingae. RNAcentral describes it as "partial 23S ribosomal RNA". It matches the Rfam family "Bacterial large subunit ribosomal RNA", at positions 631 to 1222 of the family's 2925-position model. The record is from RNAcentral. Lineage: Bacteria; Pseudomonadati; Pseudomonadota; Betaproteobacteria; Neisseriales; Neisseriaceae.